This 82-nucleotide small RNA is filed under the name Polaribacter atrinae. RNAcentral describes it as "Flavo-1 RNA". It matches the Rfam family "Flavo-1 RNA". The record is from Rfam by way of RNAcentral. Lineage: Bacteria; Pseudomonadati; Bacteroidota; Flavobacteriia; Flavobacteriales; Flavobacteriaceae.
CUUUUGCAGACCGCGUUAAGGAUUGAAGUGACAUCCUUUUUAAUUUUUCAUUAAAAAGAUAUAACGGAAAGCCUGACCACAC